RNAcentral lists this transfer RNA (72 nucleotides) under Anaerolineales bacterium. RNAcentral's name for it is "tRNA-Ile". It matches the Rfam family "tRNA". Rfam says of the family: Transfer RNA (tRNA) molecules are approximately 80 nucleotides in length. Their secondary structure includes four short double-helical elements and three loops (D, anti-codon, and T loops). The record is from RNAcentral. Lineage: Bacteria; Bacillati; Chloroflexota; Anaerolineae; Anaerolineales.
GGGCCUGUAGCUCAAUGGCAGAGCACGCGGCUCAUAACCGCUUGGUUGCAGGUUCGAGCCCUGCCGGGCCCA